UAUUCUGCCCAUGCGGGAAGGAUGAGAAGCUUCGAUUAAGGUUCGGUUCGAGCGUCAGCGAGAAAGCGUUGCCGCAGGCAACGACCCGAAGGGCGAAACGCACAGCGCGGAGUCAUCCUUCCCCCACCACCA
RNAcentral lists this small RNA (132 nucleotides) under Citrobacter freundii. RNAcentral's name for it is "RtT sRNA". It matches the Rfam family "RtT RNA". From Rfam's summary of the family: This family represents a bacterial cis-regulatory element known as RtT RNA. The exact function of RtT is unknown although it is thought that it may be involved in changing the cellular response in relation to amino acid starvation. The record is from RNAcentral. RNAcentral also lists the same sequence under 3 other names. Lineage: Bacteria; Pseudomonadati; Pseudomonadota; Gammaproteobacteria; Enterobacterales; Enterobacteriaceae.